CCUGGUUAGCCGGGUAGAAUGUAAUCCACCCACCUUGGCCUCCCAAAGUGCUGGGAUUACAGGUGUGAGCCACCACGCCCAGCUGGAAACUGCCACUUUUAAACCAUCAGAUCUCAUUGAGAACUCCCUCACUAUCACGAGAACUGCGUGAGGGAAACCACCCCCAUGAUCUGAUCACCUCCCACCCAGUCCUGCCCUCAACAUGUGGGGAUUACAAUUCAAGAUGAGAUUUGGGUCAGGAAACAGAGCCAAACCAUAUCAAGAGCCUCUGGUAACCACUGUUCUACUCAAUACUUCUAUGAGAUAAACUUCUUUGGAUUCCACAUAUGAUCAAGAUCAUGAGGAAGGAGGAGCAAGUCUUCUUUGUCAUGCUGUUAAGAAAACACCCAGAGUCACAGCACCAUAAUCUCCUUGUGGAGCAGAACAAGUAAUAUAAAACUGAUCUAAAGAGGCCUCCCCUCUACUCUUAUCUGUCUGGUCGAGUCAUUUGGGGCCAAGUGGGCACCAUUGUGGGAGGGUGGGAGGACUCAUCACUGGGGGCGCAGGCAUCAUUGGCAUGUGGCCUCCUAUAUUAGUCUGUUCUCAUGCUGCAAAUAAAGACAACUUGAGACUGGAUAAUUU
RNAcentral lists this non-coding RNA (621 nucleotides) under Pongo abelii (Sumatran orangutan). The record is from RNAcentral. Lineage: Eukaryota; Metazoa; Chordata; Mammalia; Primates; Hominidae.